GGAGAAGCACGGUGUAGGGUGGG
RNAcentral lists this microRNA (23 nucleotides) under Bos taurus (domestic cattle). RNAcentral's name for it is "bta-miR-2486-5p". The record is from miRBase by way of RNAcentral. Lineage: Eukaryota; Metazoa; Chordata; Mammalia; Artiodactyla; Bovidae.